This is a small nuclear RNA of Heterocephalus glaber (naked mole-rat), 104 nucleotides long. NCBI's taxonomy places the organism in Eukaryota, Metazoa, Chordata, Mammalia, Rodentia, Bathyergidae. The record is from Ensembl.
GUGCUCGCUUCAGCAGCACAUAUACUAAAAUUGGAAAGAUACAGAGAAGAUUAGCAUGGCCCCUGCUCAAAUGUUCUUUUUAAAAAGCAGCUUUCCUAGCCAUG